Molecule: long non-coding RNA, 591 nt
Organism: Corticium candelabrum
Lineage: Eukaryota; Metazoa; Porifera; Homoscleromorpha; Homosclerophorida; Plakinidae
Exons: 3
Source: RefSeq, a predicted model, not a curated record
UUUCUGUACAGACAGAGGCAUAAGUCGACGUUGUUCUCUGACUAAAGAAGAACUAGAACGCUGCGUGUCUGACGCCGUAAGCGAGGUCGGACCAUCUUGCAUCUUCAGAUCGUCAAAAGGCAAGAAGAAGGCAACGGCUACACAAUAAACUGCAAAGAUCUUCAUCUUUAGAGAUGUCCACAACUUUGAACGACGAACAAAAGAAGACGUACGCUAGUGCCACGAAACUGGAAUUGAUGUCGUCAGAAGUCUCUGAAAAUAGCAGUGAUAACGAGCCACCCUCUGAGGGAGCCACCACUGCUGGACGUUCACAACUCCUGAUCCGACCUCUUCCGUGGAGAGCCAUUGAAACAACAAAGGUGUUUGAGUUUUUGGACAGAAAGUACGCCAGAAGGCAGACUCAGAGAGGAACGGUACCAAGAGUAAACGAAUCGAGCUCCAUCUACCAGAACACGUCCGGGAAUGACAUUGUGCCAGAGUGGGCUCUAGAAGACUUCUGCUAAUUACAAUACGUUUGAUUUUAAUACAUGUCAAAGAACAUGGAUAUAUAGAGCUAGAUCAUUCAAAUUUGCUGUUAGCAUUGUUGUCCAU